Molecule: small nuclear RNA, 104 nt
Filed under: Jaculus jaculus (lesser Egyptian jerboa)
Lineage: Eukaryota; Metazoa; Chordata; Mammalia; Rodentia; Dipodidae
Source: RNAcentral
AUGCUCACUUCGGCAGCACAUAUACUAAAAUUGGAACGAUACAGAGAUUAGCAUGGCCUCGGCACAAGGAUGACACCCAAAUUUAUGAAAAUUUAGCAAAAAAU